RNAcentral lists this transfer RNA (66 nucleotides) under Rhabdopleura sp. NHMO H2137. RNAcentral's name for it is "tRNA-Glu". Lineage: Eukaryota; Metazoa; Hemichordata; Pterobranchia; Rhabdopleurida; Rhabdopleuridae. The record is from RNAcentral.
AGUUUUAUAGUUGAAAACUACAACAUUGGCUCUUCAAGCCAAAAGUUCCACUUAAGGAUAAAACUA